This 404-nucleotide ribosomal RNA is filed under the name uncultured bacterium. RNAcentral describes it as "bacterial SSU rRNA". It matches the Rfam family "Bacterial small subunit ribosomal RNA", at positions 357 to 776 of the family's 1533-position model. The record is from RNAcentral.
GGGAAUAUUGCACAAUGGGGGAAACCCUGAUGCAGCGACGCCGCGUGAAGGAAGAAGUAUCUCGGUAUGUAAACUUCUAUCAGCAGGGAAGAAAACAGACGGUACCUGACUAAGAAGCCCCGGCUAACUACGUGCCAGCAGCCGCGGUAAUACGUAGGGGGCAAGCGUUAUCCGGAUUUACUGGGUGUAAAGGGGGCGCAGACGGCCAUGGCAAGCCCGGUGUGAAAGGCAGGGGCAUAACCCCUGGACUGCACUGGGAACUGUCAGGCUGGAGUGCCGGAGGGGUAAGCGGAAUUCCUGGUGUAGCGGUGAAAUGCGUAGAUAUCAGGAGGAACACCGGCGGCGAAGGCGGCUUACUGGACGGCAACUGACGUUGAGGACCGAAAGCGUGGGGAGCGAACAGG